UCACCUUUGCUUGAUCUCAGAAGAAGUUGGAAAUUUCACCUUCCAAGUCCGAGGAAAUAGUUGAAUGAUCACUGGUAAUAAAGAACUUGCCUCAAAUUGUAAGAAUUGUCAAUUUACGGCUUCCAGCUGCACUAAAAUUCCAUUCAUGUUAAUCUCAAGACAAAAAACAACUAUUAGCCUGAAAAGUUGCUUUAACAUCAAUUUGGAUCAAGAGUAAAGAAGGCAGAAGAAAACUUCUCCUUCAAUUUCUACAAAUUGAGAAGAAUGUUAGAUGCAGACAAGCAAAGUUCUUCAUGUUGUGCCAGUUAUUGCAAGAAAUUCUUGUAACUGCUGGUAUUACUCUGGGCAAAAACGAACAAAGAGAACCAAAAAAAAAUCUCACUUACUGAGAGUAUAAAAUCCAUAAGAGUGGUGCAAGAAUGACAUCGUCGACUGUCAAUUUCCGUGCCAAAUUGCAAAAUGAAAACUGGAAAACUACAGAUUCGAUUCAUUUUAACUGUCAUUUAAGGUUGUUGCACAUCCCCCUUAAGGAUGAAUUAAUGAUACACUAAUAAGGAUGAAUAUGGAAAAGAGAAGUAAAUGCUUCUUGUUUUUUCUGAAACUUCAAAUAUUGGGAAUAAAUUCAGUUUGAAUCACAAGAUAUACUGUCCUGGUUUCUGGAAGCAUCAUAGAUGAAGCAUAAAAUACAAAUAGCAGUAAAAGCAGCAGAAAGCUCUUGCAAACUGUCACAAACCCCUCCAGAUACUAACAACAACAACAACAACAACCCAGUAUAAUCCCACAAGUGGGGUCUGGGGAGGGUAAUAUGUACGCAGACCUUACCCCUACCCCGAGGGGCAGAGAGACUGUUUCCAGGAGACCCUCGGCUCAAGAAAGCACCAAGUGACGAUAUAUUAGUACUAUCAAUAGACUCAUAAUAAAAUAACAUAAAAUACAUAACAUAACAUAAAAUAACCUAAAAUAACAAAAUAACAACAAUAUAAGAAAUAUAGGAAAUAUGAGAAAAAUGGCAUUAUAAUACAGUUAAAUAACAUAAAACUCUAGUCAUCAGCAUAUAUAAUGAAGAAGUCAACUGCAGACAUGUACCUUGACCGGCCCCUUGAAAGAUAUUUGGACCUUGAGACAGAUCUACUAUAUCGAUUGUAUGAAGGUGAGCGAGAAUACCUGCAAUACAGAUGCAAUAUUCGAAUAUGAAAAGGAAUAAUGACCAUAUAGAACCCACAUUAAGACCAAACAAUACCUUGACCUCCUGGAAUACGACAUCGUGAAGAGAUUAUGGCGUAGGAUUGG
This 1290-nucleotide long non-coding RNA is filed under the name Nicotiana tabacum (common tobacco). RNAcentral describes it as "long non-coding RNA (NTAB_LNC005313)". The record is from RNAcentral. Lineage: Eukaryota; Viridiplantae; Streptophyta; Magnoliopsida; Solanales; Solanaceae.